UGGGAAAAAUUCUAGAAAUUU
RNAcentral lists this non-coding RNA (21 nucleotides) under Caenorhabditis elegans. Lineage: Eukaryota; Metazoa; Nematoda; Chromadorea; Rhabditida; Rhabditidae. The record is from RNAcentral.